Beta vulgaris subsp. vulgaris (sugar beet) is the source of this 3161-nucleotide long non-coding RNA. RefSeq lists it as uncharacterized. The record is from RefSeq and is a predicted model, not a curated record. The transcript has 2 exons. NCBI's taxonomy places the organism in Eukaryota, Viridiplantae, Streptophyta, Magnoliopsida, Caryophyllales, Amaranthaceae.
ACAGACCUUGAAUGGUGCCAAGUUAUCAAAGUUUCCCGCGAUGGAGUCAAACAAGUUCACGACUUGGCUCGACUAUGCAGCAGCAAUAAGGUCUCGUUUACAAAUUUGUAAUUUAGUACGUUUUUUGCGAUGUCAAAAAAACAAAAAAAAAAAACCUCCAAACCCCCACUCCUUCCCAUGGCUUCUCUCUGUCACUCAAAAAUCCAAAAACCCCUGUUCUCUCUAUUUCUCUCGCACGUCCUCUCACCUCGCCUAAAUUCUCUAGCCAUCAUGGCCGAGUUUGUCGCGAUCGGUGGUUUACUACUGUCGCCGCAGGCUAGCAGCGCUACUCUUUGCUAUCUGUUUCACUCUCCUCUGUUUUCUGCUGCGUGUUGUUGUUAUUGUGUCUGUGUUGCUCCCGACACUGUCGUGCGGUGCUACUGUCGUAACUGUUAUGCAGUGUUACCGCUCUGUCGUGACCCAUCUUGAGGUGCCACACUUCACCUCUUCAUCUCCUUUCUUUCUGUCAAGUUAUGUCUCUUAAUUAAUUGAAUAGUUUUAAGUUGAAUUGAAUCUGAAUGAUUGGAUUUCAUUAGCUAAUCCUAUUUUUGUUGUGUGUGCAAUUGGCUUGAAUGAUAUAGCUCAUAAUAUUAUCAUUGAUAUAUACAUGUUGAGUUAUAAACUUUGAUUAUGGAUCAUACUGAUGAGAGAAUCAAAAUAUGACUAAUGCAUGUCCAAAUUGUUAUUUGAUUUAGGUUUACAUUAUCUGAUUUAAAUGAUUGGGAAGUUACAAGAUGGUAUUAGAGCAACCCUGCGAUCUUGUGUUGUGUAGCCACCUAGCGGUGGUAAAAGAUCAUUGGAAUUAACCGGAAUUCGUUUUGGGCAAUUAGAGGUAAGAUAUGAGUUGAGAGAGUUUUUUUUAUUAUUCAUUUGGGAUAUAAUCAUUUGGAUUAUAAAAGUAUUUUGGAAAAUUAGAGUUAUGAGUUGAGUAUUGUGUGAAAUAUCGUUUAAAGGAGGAGAUUAUUGGAGUUUUGUUUCUAAUUUGGGUUAUUAGCAGCUAAGAAUUGAGCAAUGGAUUAUGGAGAUCAAGUUUGGUCUUAAUGAAUUAGAAUUUCUUUUGUUAGACCUUGGGGAUUGUUUUGUUUUGCCAUUGAUAUUGAUUUUGAUCUACUUGUCUGAUUAUUUUUCAAAUGUCAAACUCUUAUAUCUUUAUGGUAUAACCCCAUUUCAUAGAUGUUCAUUUCAAAGUUCAUGGACGAACUCUUUUUUUUUAAGGGUGGUGUAAUGUAAUGCUUGGUAUGUUUCCAUGAUUGCUAUAACUCAAAUCAUGAUUGUAUUUCAUGUUGUACAGGGUAAUUGUACAUAACUUCUAUUUAUUAGAUUAAAGUGUGAUGUUCAUAAAAAUUUUAUAGUUUGAAUAGUCUAUAAGGAUUUCAUCAAAUGAGUUUUACUUUAAAUGAGGUAAUUGGAAUCUAAUGUCAGCAAGUUUGCCCCUUUUGCUCCUCAAUUUCGCAAAUCGAGUUGAAGUAUAGUUUCAAAAGAUGAUGACAUAAUGGAGGCUGGACAUCUAAUAUCUUGGCAUCUUGAGAUUUUUUUUUUGUUUAUUUAAAUGGAUUGGGGAUAUAAGUGUGACACUUUCUCUUGAUUACAUGUUUAAUUGAGUGUGAUUUAUAAAAUUGUUUUACUUAUUAGUGUUUCAAAUGUUUGAUUCCGAGUUUCGGGGACGAAACUUCUUAUACGGGUGGUAGAGUAUAACAUUCCAGAUUUUUAAAAGCGUUUACUAAAUGCUUAUCAUAUUUAUUAAGUUAAUUAUGUUUCGAAUAUUCUUACUUUAUUUAAGUUGGACUACGAAUUUUUAUUUGUCGCGUAUGUAAUAUACUUGUUAUAUUAAUUUUAUGAAGUUGGUAUUAUUAAAUGUAUUUUGAGUUUUAUGGAUCAAAAACUUGUUCAGUAUUAUUUGCCAAAAAACGUAACUAAUAUUUUGUUCUCAUGUAGUCAGUUUUCUUGCCACUGAUAAAAACCCCAAACCCCCACUCCUUCUCGUGGCUUCUCUCUGUCACUCAAAAACCAAAAAAAAAAAAACCCUUGUUCUCUCUCUAUCUCUCGCACGUCCUCUCACCUCAUCUGAAUUCUCUAGCCACCAUGGCCGAGUUUGCUGCGGUCGGCGGUGCACUGCUGCCGCCGCAGGCUAGCGACGCUGGCCUCCGGUGUCUGUUUCUCUCUCCUCUGUUUUCUACUGCGUGUUGCUGCUGUUGUGUUAGUGUUGCUGCCGACACUAUCGUGUAAUGUUGUCGCUCUAUCGUGACCCAUCUUGAGAUGAGGAUGGGGAAUCUGAUGAAGAAGAAGAUUUGAAAUAUUUGAGAGAGCCUCUGGUUCAAGAAGGGCUUGAUACAAGUGAUGAUGAACAGAGGGUAGCUAGGGAUAGAGUAAAAGGUUUUAAUUGUGGUAUUAUAGAACUUGCACAUAAACUGCAAGUAGAGGCAGCUCAGGGAAAACUUGCUGCAAAACGGAGGGAAGAAGGGUCAACUUUAGAUGUUAGGAAGGUGGGAAACAAUGUUUCUGAGUAUGAUGACUCUGAGGUAGAAAUACAUAUACCUCCACCCAGUGGCGGAUUUAGCUACCACCACCAUGGUGCACGUGCACCAGCAAUAAAAAAAAAGAAAAAAAAUUACUUUUCUCACGCACGAAAAUGUCACGGUUAUUUUUCCACAUCUCAACUCUUCUCAAACCUCAGUUCUCCCUUUCCCUCUCAUAAAAUCUCAGUCCUUUCUUCCUCCCGUCAUCAGGAUUCCGGCCUCACCGGCGGCGUCGACGCGCGAACUUAAAGAGAAAUCGGUCAAAGUGACUCGGAGUCUCGGGGCUGUAAGCUGUAAGCAUUUGCGUGGUUGCUUCUGCAGUUCUGCUUCGUAUCCAGUGGCGAAGUGACCCGCCGACCUGCAGAAUCAGUCGGAAUUAGUGUACGACAGUGGUUGAUUUCUUGUUCUGGAUGAGUGUCGAAGUCUCAGAGGUACAUUGUACAUCUUAAUAUUUUCAACUUGCUUGAUUUCUUGUUUUACUUUAUAGAUUAGGAUUUAUGAAUUUAUGAGAAUUGGAAAAUAAAUUGCAAUUUCACUUGUUAUGGGUGUUUAUAUAUAUCAAAUUAUAUAAUUUAGAAUUCUAUAAAUGUGGAUUUUAUUGUUGUA